AAUAUCAAAUAUGUGUGUAUGAAUCUUACGCUAUGUGCAUUUGUGAAAAGAAUAAAAAUUCAUUUUUUUUCUUCUUCAAGAAACAAGAAUUUAUUUUUCUCCCAUUUUCAUUUCACCCAAAAUUACACUUUCGAUUCUUCCAAAAUCUCUCGCAUUCUCACCGAUUCCCAAAAUCACACUUCAAACUCACAAUCUCUGGCGUUUCUCUUUUCUCCGCCGAUUCUUCAAUGAUCAUUUGUGUGCAUCUUCCGCAUCCCGCGAUUUCAAUGAGAAAUUUUCAAGUCGAUUUCUGAAUCAAUUGUUUGCGUGCUGGAGGAAUUUGGUUUGUGAUUGAUUUUCGUGGGGGAAUUCUGUGGAUGAAUUCUAAAAUUUAUACAUGUGAUGUUACAGGGCUGAGGUAGAAGGCAAAAAAGAGUGCUAUGGUGUAAAAAUAGGGAUGAGGUAGAAAGCAAAAAAGAUAGAUACUCCAUGAUGCAAUAAUAGUGGAAUUGUGUUUGCUAAAGCUGAACAGAGUUGGUGGUAUGAAGAGCAGGAUCUUCGGUUCUUUUUCCAGUAUGGAAAUAAUCUUAGACCUCCAGUUCUUCUUUUUCCAGGAUCAGCAGGAGCUUAUGCACAUCUCAGAUUGUUACGGGAAAAAGUCUCAAAGUUGACUAUGAAGCGAGGUAAUUUCAAUUGUUAGUGAUGUAAUAUAUAUAAUUAUAUCUUGUUCAAAAAAAAAAAUAUAAUUAUAUAUGAACAACCAUGUUCGGCGCUGCCGAGUAAUGUAAAUUAGGAUUCGGAUGUUCCUGUUGCUGCUGUUUCUGAAAUUCUGGUUUCUAUCACAUCACUUGAGUACUUGUUCUAAUGUUGGCACUGAAAAACCUGAACCAGAUAUUCAAAUAAAACGUUUUGUGAGAAAGAUAUAAAAAAGUCUUUGAUUGAUUAAACUACCAGUUUUUUGUUGAGCAAACAAGGUAUAAAAACUACACUUGGGGCUGAAUUAGUGAUUGUAUGUAUAAUUCUAUUGUGUGGUUCACAAUUCAAGAAUUUGAUUGAAAUCUUCAAUGUAUAAUUCUAAAAUUUGUGUUGGACCGUUGGUAAGUGUGUUCCAUACCCAAGUUAUUCUUCUAUCUCUACAUUAUACUCUUUCUGUGUUCCAAUUCACACCCUAGACUUUCAAUAUGCUAUUUAUGCUUUUUGAUUGAUUGCAGAAAUACCUUAAAAGUUGGAUCAGUUGACUUGAAAUUAGUACAGAAACUCACAAUUUAUGAACUGAGUUUGUUUCUAUCACAUCAUAAAAUUAAGUGUCUAUGUUUCUUGUCUAUUCUUAUACAAUAGAUAUGUUUCAUUAUUACCGACAGUAGGCAUAUACUCUACAAAGGCAUAUAAUCCUCCAAAGUUCAAAGUUCUUAUGAAGGAAUAUGUAAGCCUCUGCAAAGGCAUGUUUUCUCCUACCUUAUUUAUCUUUUUUGUCCGGUAAGUUCCUUUGGCUAAAGUUGUUUCUCUUAUGUUGUUCAUUUGGUUAGAGCAUAUCUUGCAAAGAAAAUGAUGCGUAGAAUUGCUUUAGCAUUAGAUGGAUCACCAUGCGUUUGAAGGUGAUAGAGCUUAUGAUCUAUUUUGGAUUAUGCGGAUAGUUGGUUACCCGGGUGUAAAUGACAUAGGAUGGUAAUGAAAUCAAUCUAGCCUAUCUAGGACCUGAAUCUCUAAAAUUUUUACAUUUUUUAUCUAUGUUUGUUAGACCUUACAUUAUUGAACUAAGGCAUCAUACUUCUAGGGCUUUUGACAGAGGCUGUUGCCUGCAUAAAAUCUACUAACAAUUCAUUAAGAAUGAUUGGAUCUUCUGCUUAAGAAGGAAAAAAAACCUUAAUCGUUUAAACAGACAGUUUUUUGUUUGUCAGGAUAAUGGACAUAUCUGGUUUAUAAUCGAUAUAUGUUGGGAACGAUUGUGGCUGCUGAUUUUAUCAUUCUUAAUUAUUCAAACAUAUUUGCUACGGUAAUUAUGGGAUAAUUCAAGAACAUUCAAUCUUCUGCUUGAAAACACGAAACUUUAAUUGAGGAAACGUGAUUUUGCAUUAUGAACUUAAUAACCCUUGUCCCUAAUGUUACAUAAGUUUUGUAAGGGAUGGAUACCUCAAUGACCCUUGAGAAAAAUGCAUUAUGAAUUCUUCAUUCAUAAUGGAAAAGUUGGAUGGCGGCUUAGAAGUGAUUUUACAUUAAUAUAGAUAACAAUUUAUAUUUUUUAAGUUAUAAUUUUGACCCCACUUACUAAAAUUUCUGGAUCCGUCCCUGAAUAUAGGAAACGUGUUCUGUCCCAAAAAAUUUAAAUCUUCUGCUUAUUGCCUUAAUUGCGACCCAAACAACUGUCUCUAUCGAUGUCCCCUUUUCUGUCAGAAAUAAAGUAUGAACCUUUAUUCAUAAUGCAUGAAUGGAUGCCUAUUUUGAUUUGAUGACCCUUAGUCCCUAAAUUCAAUUUGCAACUGCAACUAGAUGUGAUUUUGUGUUAUGAACUUAAUGACCCUCAUAAAGGAAAAAAGGAUGGUCGCCUUUAAAGAAAUUUUAAUAUGAACUUUUUAUUCAAAACGUGUAUGGUCUCUAUUGCCUUAUUAUGACUGUGAAACUGUCACUGAGAUGAUAUAUGAGGCACAUAUGUUAGAAAUUUUGCUUUGAUGACCUAGUCCUAAAUGCAAUUUUGCAACUACAAUAUGAAGUGCUUUUGCAAAUGCAAAAUGGAGUGCAUGGUUGUGUUGGAUUAGCCUAUUGAUAAUGGUUUCAAAGGAAUUCUCUAAGGAAGAAACAAAUCAACUCAGGCAAAGUACAAAAAAGCUAACUCUUUAGAGUUUGAACUAUUUCUCACAACAUUUAUCCUGUAUAUAUGACAUUAUGCAGACCACCUAUGUCAUAUAGUGAUGCUUGCAUUGUGAUCAAUGAAUAAACCAUAACAAGGUUGCAUCUGUUAAUGUUUUUGGCUGCAGGUGAUUUUAUAAGAAUCAAAUAGCACUAGAUUUGUGUUGAUAAUUAUAAAUGCAAGUCUUGGAUUUAGUAAUUGACAAUACAUGUGAACUCUUAUAAGUGGCCUCUCGGUUUUGCAGCAUUGAAUCAAUCGAUCAUGUAGGUGGUACAACCUCUCCGGUAUGCAGCCUACAAACUUGCUGUGGUGACUGAUGACAAUUCUUCCAGACAAUAUUAUUAUGUAACAGGUUGGUUCUGCAGAUGCGUUAUCCUUUUUUUUUUUUUUUUUUUACCUGGCAUUGUUAGUAACUUAUCUAAAGUUUUGCAUGGUGCAAAAUCAAUGAUAAGUGGGGCUGCCGGAAGCAUGGAAGCUAUUGACCUAGCAAUUAGAGUUUUGGCAGAGUUCCAUAUAGUUCUCCAGGAUGAUGCUAAUACAUCUGUCCUGGAUAUGAAAGUGUCUGCAAGCUUUGAUUCAGACGAGUGUAUUACUCUUUCUCUUUUGGACGAGAUUCAUAAAAAAUAACUAGUUCUCAAACUCAAGUUCAAGAAAUGGGAAUACUGGUCCUGACGGAGAAACCUUGUAUUUGCAUGUGACCCCAACAAAAGAUUACAUCAGCACAUGUAAAUAAGCUGUUGACUGCAACUUUUCCACAUAUCUGUAUCCACUCUUCACAAAAGGUGAGAAAGGGACUUGUUGAUGCCAUAAAAGGACUCUUAUUGGAGUGCUUCUACACACUGGGGGACAGUAGACUGAUGCUUCUGCUGCAAAGUGAACACUGACAUGCUUCUUCUUUUCAAAUCUCAGCUUGUUGCAGCACAGUAAAUUAGAGAAUAUAUAACACUAGUUCAUAAUAGAAGGACAACAACAUUAUAAUAUAGAUAAGGUGAUGCUUACCUGAACAAGGCAAAUAGUAAUAUUCCUUCUUUGAUUUCCAUAAAGUUAUAUCAACUGCAUCCAUUCAAAA
Long non-coding RNA from Trifolium pratense (red clover), 3893 nucleotides. RefSeq lists it as uncharacterized. The transcript has 7 exons. NCBI's taxonomy places the organism in Eukaryota, Viridiplantae, Streptophyta, Magnoliopsida, Fabales, Fabaceae. The record is from RefSeq and is a predicted model, not a curated record.